This 373-nucleotide long non-coding RNA is filed under the name Mytilus galloprovincialis (Mediterranean mussel). The record is from RNAcentral. Lineage: Eukaryota; Metazoa; Mollusca; Bivalvia; Mytilida; Mytilidae.
AUAAUGAACGCCAUACUAAUUUCCAAAUUGUACACAAGAAACUAAAAUUAAAAUAAUACAAGAUUAACAAAGGCCAGAGGCUCCUGACUUGGGACAGGCGCAAAAAUGCGGCGGGGUUAAACAUGUUUGUGAGAUCUCAACCCUCCCCCUAUACCUCUAGCCAAUGUAGAAAAGUAAACGCAUAACAAUACGCACAUUAAAAUUCAGUUCAAGAGAAGUCCGAGUCUGAUGUCAGAAGAUGUAACCAAAGAAAAUAAACAAAAUGACAAUAAUACAUAAAUAACAACAGACUACUAGCAGUUAACUGACAUGCCAGCUCCAAACUUCAAUUAAACUGACUGAAAGAUUAUGAUUUCAUCAUAUGAACAUCAGG